RNAcentral lists this ribosomal RNA (776 nucleotides) under uncultured Neocallimastigales. RNAcentral describes it as "partial large subunit ribosomal RNA". It matches the Rfam family "Eukaryotic large subunit ribosomal RNA", at positions 23 to 638 of the family's 3401-position model. The record is from RNAcentral. Lineage: Eukaryota; Fungi; Neocallimastigomycota; Neocallimastigomycetes; Neocallimastigales.
GAGACUCUGUGCGCGUGCAUAUCAAUAAGCGGAGGAAAAGAAACUAACAAGGAUUCCCCUAGUAACGGCGAGUGAAGCGGGAAGAGCUCAAAUUUGAAAUCUUCAAGGCUCUACCUUGACGAAUUGUAGUUUAUAGAAGUGUUUUCUGUUAGUGGAGUGGCAAAAGUUCUUUGGAAUAGGACAUCAUAGAGGGUGAGAAUCCCGUAUUUGGUCAUUCCUCCUAGCGUUGUGAUACACUUUCAACGAGUCGGAUUGUUUGGGAAUGCAGUCCAAAGAUGGGUGGUAAAUUUCAUCUAAAGCUAAAUAUUGGCGAGAGACCGAUAGCGAACAAGUACCGUGAGGGAAAGAUGAGAAGAACUUUGAAAAGAGAGUUAAACAGUACGUGAAAUUGUCAAAAGGGAAGCGUUUGACACCAGUGUUGUUUAGUUGAAAAUCAAUUCAAUAGUUUUUGAUUCUAAGUAGUAUUGACUUCAUCAGCUUGCUGCUUUCUUCUCAGAAAUUAUUGAAUGCACUUUUCAGUUAACAAGUCAACAUCAAUUUCUUUUGUUGUAAAAGGGUAAGAGGAAGGUGGCUUGCGCUUCGGCUCAAGUGUUUAUAGCCUUUUAUCUCUGCAAUCGGAGAGAUUGAGGUCUGCAGGCGUAGAUCCUUCGGGGUUAGAUACAUUGGUGCUAAGCUAUAGCCUUGUAUAGACAACUUGUUGACUAUGCUCAGUCAUGUAGCUUACUCGCUGAUGCUAUUUUACCUACGCUUAGGAUGUUGACAGCAGUAUAGACUGU